GACACUCAUGCCCCUCGAAGAAGAGUGUGGUAGAAGCCUGUUGCUCAAAGUGAUGCUGAAAGAACUUUGAUAGGACACGGAAUUAAGGAAGGCAAACUUCAAAUGCAUGCUUGGGUUCGAUCAAAGUUGCAGGAGACACUCGGGUCCUGUGGGACGUGCUGGAGCAUGAAUGAAAACCUUCCUUUAAUCAAGAUGCUUGUCUAGGCUGAACCCAUUUUAGUCACACUGGGAGUGUGGGUGGGACAUGUACCUUCAAUAUCUUGGUUGUCACCAGGGAAACCAUGGAGACAAAGCACUCAUCCAUUCAUCAGGGGUGAAGUAGCACCUCCUGUUACUCCACACAGGCUCACCUCAUCCAUGUAGAGCACCAUUGAUGGGCUUCAUUGACAAAACCUAUCAAUGCCCCAGAAAUUCCCGAGGAAAUGAGCUUGACAUCCUUCCACAUUGGGAAGGAAUCAUGCAGUCACAAAUGCCACCAGGUGAGCAUCCAAGUUCUUCUGGCUUUUGUAACUCUCCUGCAAACUUCU
RNAcentral lists this long non-coding RNA (527 nucleotides) under Parus major (Great Tit). RNAcentral describes it as "lncRNA (ENSPMJG00000008943.1)". Lineage: Eukaryota; Metazoa; Chordata; Aves; Passeriformes; Paridae. The record is from RNAcentral.